Small nucleolar RNA from Myripristis murdjan (pinecone soldierfish), 135 nucleotides. Ensembl annotates it as small nucleolar RNA SNORA31. The record is from Ensembl. Lineage: Eukaryota; Metazoa; Chordata; Actinopteri; Holocentriformes; Holocentridae.
CUGCAUCUUUGACAGCCUGAGCCCUCUGAUGUGGGGAACCUCGGGUUUUAUUAUUUCAGAUGCAACAUUAAUGUCCCUGCGCUUUCUGCCCGCCCAUUUUCCAUGGCGAUUCGGAUUGAAUAGGGGAUGACAAAU